UACGAAGGGGGCUAGCGUUGCUCGGAAUCACUGGGCGUAAAGCGCACGUAGGCGGAUCUUUAAGUCAGGGGUGAAAUCCUGGAGCUCAACUCCAGAACUGCCUUUGAUACUGAGGAUCUUGAGUCCGGGAGAGGUGAGUGGAACUCCGAGUGUAGAGGUGAAAUUCGUAGAUAUUCGGAAGAACACCAGUGGCGAAGGCGGCUCACUGGCCCGGUACUGACGCUGAGGAACGAAAGCGUGGGGAGCGAACAGG
RNAcentral lists this ribosomal RNA (253 nucleotides) under uncultured bacterium. Its description in RNAcentral is "partial 16S ribosomal RNA". It matches the Rfam family "Bacterial small subunit ribosomal RNA", at positions 524 to 776 of the family's 1533-position model. The record is from RNAcentral.